RNAcentral lists this ribosomal RNA (253 nucleotides) under uncultured bacterium. RNAcentral's name for it is "partial 16S ribosomal RNA". It matches the Rfam family "Bacterial small subunit ribosomal RNA", at positions 524 to 776 of the family's 1533-position model. The record is from RNAcentral.
GACGUAGGGCGCGAGCGUUGUCCGGAUUUAUUGGGCGUAAAGAGCUCGUAGGCGGCUUGUCGCGUCGACUGUGAAAACCCGCGGCUCAACUGCGGGCCUGCAGCCGAUACGGGCAGGCUAGAGUUCGGUAGGGGAGACUGGAAUUCCUGGUGUAGCGGUGAAAUGCGUAGAUAUCUGGAGGAACACCGGUGGCGAAGGCGGCAUCCUGGACCGGCAUUGACGCUGAGGCGCGAAAGCUAGGGGAGCAAACGGG